Ostrea edulis (European flat oyster) is the source of this 801-nucleotide long non-coding RNA. RefSeq lists it as uncharacterized. The record is from RefSeq and is a predicted model, not a curated record. The transcript is spliced from 2 exons. Lineage: Eukaryota; Metazoa; Mollusca; Bivalvia; Ostreida; Ostreidae.
UGUCCAGUCCUUCACUCUAGAUUUUGAGGCUGCGAUCUGACGUUCCAUACAAGAGACUUUUCCAGAGGCAGACGUAAAGGGUUGUUCUUUUCACUGGAGUCAAGCAGUGAUGAGAAAAGUUGCCAACCCCGGACUUCGUGCAACUUACCAUCAGCGCAAGACAAUCCACCAUUUCAUCCGGAAGCUACUUUGACUGCCUUAUCUCCCACCAACUCACAUCAUUCAAGCCUUCGACAAUCUCAGCGCAGCUGCCAACACCCAACCACUCAGGAAGCUUAUGAUAUAUUUGUCCAAAACCUGGAUGCACAGCAGUAUUUGAAACAUCAGGCAGUGGUCCGUCUUCAGACAACCAGUGCGAACCAACAAUGACACCGAAGGUUGGCAUCGACCUUUCGUUGGAAAAGCUGGAGGGAACCAAAUUCACUUUUAUCGCUUGGUCCCAGCAUUAAAGAAACAAGGCUCCAGAGUCCGUCACCAUUACGAUGAGACUGGUAGAGGAGCAACAACUUUGUCGCUACCAACGAGAGACCUACCACCGUGCCCAAGGACGACUCAACACUUUGUGGGAUGACUAUGAAGCCAAGAAAAUAAAAACAUCGGCAUUUCUAUCAACUGCCGCAGAUUUUUUCGCCAGGCCUAUUCCUGUCGACGACGAAAUAUUAUGAUAUUUGCUUAUUAUAGUGAACAUUUUUAAAGUGAUAAAGUAGUUCACGGCUGUUUCCUUAAUUGCAUGUCACUUUGUUUUGUAGAAUUGAAUGAAUCUAUGUGCUUUAAUAUAGUAUUAUAUAAGAACCUAUAAAA